GACGAACGCUGGCGGCGUGCUUAACACAUGCAAGUCGAACGAAGAGCGAUGGAAGCUUGCUUCUAUCAAUCUUAGUGGCGAACGGGUGAGUAACGCGUAAUCAACCUGCCCUUCAGAGGGGGACAACAGUUGGAAACGACUGCUAAUACCGCAUACGAUCUAAUCUCGGCAUCGAGGAUAGAUGAAAGGUGGCCUCUACAUGUAAGCUAUCACUGAAGGAGGGGAUUGCGUCUGAUUAGCUAGUUGGAGGGGUAACGGCCCACCAAGGCGAUGAUCAGUAGCCGGUCUGAGAGGAUGAACGGCCACAUCGGGACUGAGACACGGCCCAGACUCCUACGGGAGGCAGCAGUGGGGAAUCUUCCGCAAUGGACGAAAGUCUGACGGAGCAACGCCGCGUGAGCGAUGACGGCCUUCGGGUUGUAAAGCUCUGUUAAUCGGGACGAAAGGCCUUCUUGCGAAUAGUGAGAAGGAUUGACGGUACCGGAAUAGAAAGCCACGGCUAACUACGUG
RNAcentral lists this ribosomal RNA (510 nucleotides) under uncultured bacterium. RNAcentral describes it as "partial 16S ribosomal RNA". It matches the Rfam family "Bacterial small subunit ribosomal RNA", at positions 28 to 507 of the family's 1533-position model. The record is from RNAcentral.